Molecule: ribosomal RNA, 395 nt
Filed under: uncultured bacterium
Lineage: Bacteria
Description: partial 16S ribosomal RNA
Rfam family: Bacterial small subunit ribosomal RNA
Source: RNAcentral
AUACGUAGGGUGCAAGCGUUAAUCGGAAUUACUGGGCGUAAAGCGUGCGCAGGCGGUUUUGUAAGACAGUGGUGAAAUCCCCGGGCCCAACCUGGGAACUGCCAUUGUGACUGCAAGGCUGGAGUGCGGCCGAGGGGGAAGGAAUUCCGCGGGUAGCAGUGAAAUGCGUAGAUAUGCGGAGGAACACCGAUGGCGAAGGCAAUCCCCUGGGCCUGCACUGACGCUCAUGCACGAAAGCGUGGGGAGCAAACAGGAUUAGAUACCCUGGUAGUCCACGCCCUAAACGAUGUCAACUGGUUGUUGGGGAUUUAUUUUCUCAGUAACGAAGCUAACGCGUGAAGUUGACCGCCUGGGGAGUACGGCCGCAAGGUUAAAACUCAAAGGAAUUGACGGGG